AUUGAACGCUGGCGGCAGGCCUAACACAUGCAAGUCGAACGAGUGGCGGACGGGUGAGUCAUGUCUGGGAAACUGCCUUAUGGAGGGGGAUAACUACUGGAAACGGUAGCUAAUACCGCAUACCAUCGGAUGUGCCCAGAUGGGAUUAGCUAGUAGGUGGGUUAACGGCUCACCUAGGCGACGAUCCCUAGCUGGUCUGAGAGGAUGACCAGCCAAACUGGGAAUGAGACACGGUCCAGACUCCUAAGGGAGGCAGCAGUGGGGAAUAUUGCACCAUGGGCGCAAGCCUGAUGCAGCCAUGCCGCGUGUAUGAAGAAGGCCUUCGGGUUGGAAAGUACUUUCAGCGGGGAGGCGUUACCCGCAGAAGAAGGACCGGCUAACUCCGUGCCAGCAGCCGCGGUAAUAC
This 406-nucleotide ribosomal RNA is filed under the name uncultured bacterium. RNAcentral's name for it is "partial 16S ribosomal RNA". It matches the Rfam family "Bacterial small subunit ribosomal RNA", at positions 30 to 526 of the family's 1533-position model. The record is from RNAcentral.